UACGGGGGGGGCAAGCGUUGUUCGGAAUUACUGGGCGUAAAGGGCGCGUAGGCGGCCUUCUAAGUCGAACGUGAAAUCCCCGGGCUCAACCCGGGAACUGCGUCCGAUACUGGAAGGCUUGAAUCCGGGAGAGGGAUGCGGAAUUCCAGGUGUAGCGGUGAAAUGCGUAGAUAUCUGGAGGAACACCGGUGGCGAAGGCGGCAUCCUGGACCGGCAUUGACGCUGAGGCACGAAAGCCAGGGGAGCAAACGGG
This 253-nucleotide ribosomal RNA is filed under the name uncultured bacterium. Its description in RNAcentral is "partial 16S ribosomal RNA". It matches the Rfam family "Bacterial small subunit ribosomal RNA", at positions 524 to 776 of the family's 1533-position model. The record is from RNAcentral.